This 148-nucleotide small RNA is filed under the name Pongo abelii (Sumatran orangutan). Its description in RNAcentral is "Metazoan signal recognition particle RNA (ENSPPYG00000034601.1)". The record is from Rfam by way of RNAcentral. Lineage: Eukaryota; Metazoa; Chordata; Mammalia; Primates; Hominidae.
GCCGGGCAUGGUGGCGCAUGCCUGUAAUCCCAGCUACUCAGGAGGCUGAGGCAGGAGAAUUGCUUGAGCCUGGGAGGCAGAGGUUGCAGUGAGCCAAGAUCGCGCCACUGCACUCCAGCCUGGGUGACAGAGCGAGACUCCGUCUCAA